RNAcentral lists this ribosomal RNA (373 nucleotides) under uncultured bacterium. Its description in RNAcentral is "bacterial SSU rRNA". It matches the Rfam family "Bacterial small subunit ribosomal RNA", at positions 525 to 896 of the family's 1533-position model. The record is from RNAcentral.
ACAUAGGGUGCAAGCGUUGUCCGGAAUUAUUGGGCGUAAAGAGCUCGUAGGUGGCUCGUCACGUCGAAUGUGAAACCCUGAGGCUCAACCUCAGGCCUGCAUCCGAUACGGGCGAACUGGAGUGUGGUAGGGGAGACUGGAAUUCCUGGUGUAGCGGUGGAAUGCGCAGAUAUCAGGAGGAACACCAAUGGCGAAGGCAGGUCUCUGGGCCACUACUGACACUGAGGAGCGAAAGCGUGGGGAGCAAACAGGAUUAGAUACCCUGGUAGUCCACGCUGUAAACGGUGGGCACUAGUUGUGGGAACCUUCCACGGUUUCUGCGACGCAGCUAACGCAUUAAGUGCCCCGCCUGGGGAGUACGGUCGCAAGACUA